Myotis lucifugus (little brown bat) is the source of this 47-nucleotide non-coding RNA. Lineage: Eukaryota; Metazoa; Chordata; Mammalia; Chiroptera; Vespertilionidae. The record is from Rfam.
AGUAUGGUCCUAUUUAGGACCAUAGAAUACAAACAUUUCCAUAGUGU